CUGUAGUGCUUCCUGCGUGCAGGCCCAUUGCCUAAACGCUACAUGCUUACACAAAAGUCUUCUACUUUAAAUUUGCAUAAUGCAUACUACCUAAUGAAUAACCUAGUAUAUAUGUCCACUAUAUAAGUACCUUGGCGAAUGAAUCUUUAUUCUACCUAGCUCACACAUGCAUCAUAUAGUCAGUGCAAACCGGGUAAAAUAUUUUUCUGGAUAAGGAAAAAAUAUGAGGAGCAAGACGAAUGGAUAGAAACCUAGGAGGUAUAGGAUG
This 268-nucleotide long non-coding RNA is filed under the name Setaria viridis. Its description in RNAcentral is "long non-coding RNA (SVIR_LNC008219)". The record is from RNAcentral. Lineage: Eukaryota; Viridiplantae; Streptophyta; Magnoliopsida; Poales; Poaceae.